This 494-nucleotide ribosomal RNA is filed under the name uncultured Synechococcus sp. RNAcentral describes it as "partial 16S ribosomal RNA". The record is from RNAcentral. Lineage: Bacteria; Bacillati; Cyanobacteriota; Cyanophyceae; Synechococcales; Synechococcaceae.
CGACACCGAGGGGGUCGAUUCCCCCGACACCUAGUGUUCAUCGUUUACGGCCAGGACUACAGGGGUAUCUAAUCCCUUUCGCUCCCCUGGCUUUCGUCCAUGAGCGUCAGUUAUGGCCCAGCAGAGCGCUUUCGCCACUGGUGUUCUUCCCGAUAUCUACGCAUUUCACCGCUACACCGGGAAUUCCCUCUGCCCCUACCACACUCGAGUCUUACAGUUUCCAUCGCUGAAAUGGAGUUGAGCUCCACGCUUUAACGACAGACUUGUAAAACCGCCUGCGGACGCUUUACGCCCAAUAAUUCCGGAUAACGCUUGCCACUCCCGUAUUACCGCGGCUGCUGGCACGGAAUUAGCCGUGGCUUAUUCAUCAAGUACCGUCAGAUCUUCUUCCUUGAUAAAAGAGGUUUACAGCCCAGAGGCCUUCAUCCCUCACGCGGCGUUGCUCCGUCAGGCUUGCGCCCAUUGCGGAAAAUUCCCCACUGCUGCCUCCCGUA